RNAcentral lists this ribosomal RNA (496 nucleotides) under uncultured bacterium. RNAcentral describes it as "partial 16S ribosomal RNA". It matches the Rfam family "Bacterial small subunit ribosomal RNA", at positions 29 to 507 of the family's 1533-position model. The record is from RNAcentral.
AUGAACGCUGGCGGCGUGCCUCAUCCAUGCAAGUCGCGCGAACAGACGAGGAGCUUGCUCCUCUGACGUUAGCGGCGGACGGGUGAGUAACACGUGGAUAACCUACCUAUAAGACUGGGAUAACUUCGGGAAACCGGAGCUAAUACCGGAUAAUAUAUUGAACCGCAUGGUUCAAUAGUGAAAGACGGUUUUGCUGUCACUUAUAGAUGGAUCCGCGCCGCAUUAGCUAGUUGGUAAGGUAACGGCUUACCAAGGCAACGAUGCGUAGCCGACCUGAGAGGGUGAUCGGCCACACUGGAACUGAGACACGGUCCAGACUCCUACGGGAGGCAGCAGUAGGGAAUCUUCCGCAAUGGGCGAAAGCUUGACGGAGCAACGCCGCGUGAGUGAUGAAGGUCUUCGGAUCGUAAAACUCUGUUAUUAGGGAAGAACAAAUGUGUAAGUAACUAUGCACGUCUUGACGGUACCUAAUCAGAAAGCCACGGCUAACUACGUG